Long non-coding RNA from Cyprinus carpio (common carp), 1113 nucleotides. Lineage: Eukaryota; Metazoa; Chordata; Actinopteri; Cypriniformes; Cyprinidae. The record is from Ensembl.
UGAUGUCUUUUUUAUACUUUUCUGGACCUUGACAGUGUUUUUUACUUGUUUUUAUCCAAAAUAUCUUAAAUUGUGUUCUGAAGACGAACUAAGCUUUUACGGGUUUGGAACGACAUGGGCGUAAGUGAUUAAUGACAAAAUUUUAAUUUUGGGGUGGAGUAUCCCUUAAAUGUGUGUAUCUAUGAAUCUACUAAAGUUAACUUAGCCUGGAAAUUAGUCAUAGCAUGACAAAUGAGUAGGGCAAUUUUAAUUAAAAUACAUAUACAGUAUAUACAUGAAAUGGACAUAGGCCUAGAUGGUAUACAAAUGAAUAACUAACAUAAGUCAGUUUGAAAAUGUGUUUUAAGCUUAUUUUCUUUCUCACAGUGCCGUAGUUGAGUCAUACACUAUGUUAAGGUAAACCCAAAAUGCCAUUGAACAUUCAAUGUGAAACAACUAUAUAAUGAUAAUGUUUUCAUGUUCGUGUUUUGAUACGUUUGUGUUUUGAAUCGUUUACUUGCAGUUCGUUUACAAACAGCACGUGCAGCUUGAACCCGAUGAAGAGCUUCUUCAUCGCUGGCAAACGAUAAGUUGCAGCUUCGACUCAGUGGAUCACAGUUUGCAGUCAGAUUUGUCCCAGCGCUCGAGAAUCACAGCUUUAUUAGGUCUACUUUUACAGUCUUCCCAGCUAACAAAUCCCCGAGAAGCAGACAUUGAGCUGAAGCAUGAGAGAGCAGGUAGGUUUAGUGUGUCCUUCAAACCUUACUUUGCUGUCCCUGCCUGCAGAAAUGAGAGGAAUCACCCAAAGUAGGUCAGUCCUCACUCUCCUGGGUCAAACACGCCUUCCUAUCUGAGCAGUGCGCACUCGACAUGAUAGCUUCAGCUGUGACAGCAUUCUGCUGCUGCGGUCUGGAGCCUCGGGGUCUGGCGGUCGAGGGUUCGAGAUCCACUGUUGGUCAUCAGAGGGAUAAGAAGGCCGGUUCGCGACCUGUCAUAGCCACGGGCGAGUGAGAAUAGCUCAAAGCCUUUGCUUGGGAUUCUGGGAUUGAGAUGUACUGGUGAAGUGAAUUAUUCUCAGAGAUGUUGAGGCCCCUGCAAAUUUCCCAGAAUAAAGCUGUCAUCGAAUCCUUGUCA